This is a long non-coding RNA of Harpia harpyja (harpy eagle), 308 nucleotides long. RefSeq lists it as uncharacterized. The record is from RefSeq and is a predicted model, not a curated record. The transcript is spliced from 3 exons. Lineage: Eukaryota; Metazoa; Chordata; Aves; Accipitriformes; Accipitridae.
AGAAUUCAGAGGAUUGGGAGGUGAAGGCAGAUGCAUUUGACUCAGAAAUAUGGUUAAAUGAAAGUCCAUCAUUAAGAAGGAGCCCACUCUUGUGGUACAGUAAGAAAUGGAAUAUGUAUACAUGUGGCUUUACUAAGUGGAUAUAAUGGAAUGUCAUACAAUAAGAAGAUUCUCUGUGGUGCUGUUUCACCUUCCAUAUGAAGACAGGAACUGGAAAUCCUUCAUAUUCGAGACGCAGCUGUGGAUCCAAGAAGGUAGCUUGCCAGCAAGUCAAAUAGGAAAGCUCAUUUGUCAAAAAUACUUGCUGA